RNAcentral lists this ribosomal RNA (253 nucleotides) under uncultured prokaryote. RNAcentral's name for it is "partial 16S ribosomal RNA". It matches the Rfam family "Bacterial small subunit ribosomal RNA", at positions 525 to 777 of the family's 1533-position model. The record is from RNAcentral.
ACAGAGACUGCAAGCGUUAUUCGGAUUCACUGGGCGUAAAGGGUGCGCAGGCGGCCGAGUGUGUUAGAUGUGAAAUCCCGGGGCUCAACCCCGGAACUGCGUCUAAAACUACUUGGCUAGAGUAUUGGAGAGGGUAGCGGAAUUCACGGUGUAGCAGUGAAAUGCGUAGAUAUCGGGAGGAAGGCCGGUGGCGAAGGCGGCGCUCUGGAACAUACCUGACGCUGAGACACGAAAGCGUGGGGAGCAAACAGGA